UCAAACUUGGUCAUUUAGAGGAAGUAAAAGUCGUAACAAGGUCUCCGUAGGUGAACCGUGAGUUAAACCCAUCAAUUAUCUAUUAAUUAGGCCGAUAUACUAACAAUCUUAACAGUGCGGAGGGAUCAUUAUCGAGCGAGGGCCCCGGGCCCGACCUCCAACCCUUUUGUGAUUCCGACCGUGUUGCCUCGAGGGCGACCCGGCCGCUUCGGCGUCGGGCCCCUCGGUGGACCCCAUCAAAAUUCUUGCAUCGUUGCGUCGGAUUAUCAAGUUUAAAUUAUCAAAACUUUCAACAACGGAUCUCUUGGUUCUGGCAUCGAUGAAGAACGCAGC
Molecule: unclassified non-coding RNA, 333 nt
Filed under: uncultured fungus
Lineage: Eukaryota; Fungi
Description: partial contains small subunit ribosomal RNA, internal transcribed spacer 1, and 5.8S ribosomal RNA
Rfam family: 5.8S ribosomal RNA (bases 285-333)
Source: RNAcentral